GUGGCACAUGUGACCAGAUGACGACUGAUGCUCCUCCUCAGGAAUUUUGAACAUGAGCACACGCAUGACAGUUUCGUUAUCUCCAGGGAACCGGAGCUAAGGAAAUAUUUUGCAUAUGGACAUUUAUUCUAGACUUUGAUUCAGACUGUGUUCAAGUCCCCUCCACUCAAGAUAAUGGCA
This 180-nucleotide long non-coding RNA is filed under the name Cavia porcellus (domestic guinea pig). Its description in RNAcentral is "lncRNA (ENSCPOG00000036164.1)". The record is from RNAcentral. Lineage: Eukaryota; Metazoa; Chordata; Mammalia; Rodentia; Caviidae.